UACGUAGGCAGCAAGCGUUGUUCGGAGUUACUGGGCGUAAAGGGUGUGUAGGCGGCCUGUUAAGUUCCGUGUGAAAUCUCCCGGCUCAACCGGGAGGGUGCGCGGAAAACUGGCGGGCUAGAGUGCGGGAUGGGAGAGUAGAAUUCCUGGUGUAGCGGUGAAAUGCGUAGAUAUCAGGAGGAAUACCGGUGGUGUAGACGGCUCUCUGGACCGCAACUGACGCUGAAACACGAAAGCGUGGGUAGCAAACAGGAUUAGAUACCCUGGUAGUCCACGCCCUAAACGAUGCAUAUUUGGUGUAGGUCAUUCAGUUGAUCUGUGCCGGAGCUAACGCGUUAAAUAUGCCGCCUGGGGAGUACAGUCGCAAGGCUGAA
Molecule: ribosomal RNA, 374 nt
Filed under: uncultured bacterium
Lineage: Bacteria
Description: bacterial SSU rRNA
Rfam family: Bacterial small subunit ribosomal RNA
Source: RNAcentral